AAACACAGAUAUUAAUAUUGUUGACAUUACGAACGACAUUGCUCUAUGACUCUAUGCGUUCUUGGUAUAUAAGCAGGACGUCCUUUAUUUUUUUAAACAUUUAAUCGAAGUUGAAGCCAAAGAAAUAUGAGAGUAUUUUUGGUCCUAGUGUUGGUAUCGGCCCUGGCGGCUGCUGCUUACGCUGUUCCAGUACUGGACGACCUCACCAUUACCGCCUCUAGGUCCAUAGCCGCGGCGUUGUAACCGCGAAAACCACGUCGACAACAUAUCAGCAACAAGUUUUUAUUCACAAUUCGGAUAUACUACAAAUGGUCCUAGUUAUGGUUGCGGCCUUGGCGGCUGCUGCUUACGCCGUGUCAGUUCUAGACGGCGUCACCAAGACCGUCUCCGGCGUCGUACCCGUGAAGCUGUAACCGACCGAAAACCACGUCGACAACAUACCAGCAACUUGUUUUUAUUCACAAUUCGGAUAUACUACAAAUCGUAUAAAACAUAAAAACUAAGAAUUAGUUUUGGCAUCAAUACGGUACAGAAUAAACGUUAAAACGCAAAUGUCA
Molecule: long non-coding RNA, 557 nt
Organism: Bombyx mori (domestic silkworm)
Lineage: Eukaryota; Metazoa; Arthropoda; Insecta; Lepidoptera; Bombycidae
Exons: 3
Source: RefSeq, a predicted model, not a curated record